GCUUCCUUAGCUCAGCUGGCUAGAGCAACUGACUCUUAAUCAGUAGGUCCCGGGUUCGAGCCCCGGAGGGAGUA
This 74-nucleotide transfer RNA is filed under the name Desulfobulbaceae bacterium. It matches the Rfam family "tRNA". Rfam says of the family: Transfer RNA (tRNA) molecules are approximately 80 nucleotides in length. Their secondary structure includes four short double-helical elements and three loops (D, anti-codon, and T loops). Lineage: Bacteria; Pseudomonadati; Thermodesulfobacteriota; Desulfobulbia; Desulfobulbales; Desulfobulbaceae. The record is from Rfam by way of RNAcentral.